GACCGCGUAGCUCAGUUGGAAGAGCAUUGGGCUAGUAUUCCAAAGGUCGUAGGUUCGAAUCCCACCGUGAUCG
Paramuricea clavata is the source of this 73-nucleotide non-coding RNA. Lineage: Eukaryota; Metazoa; Cnidaria; Anthozoa; Malacalcyonacea; Plexauridae. The record is from the annotation of a GenBank genome assembly.